Molecule: ribosomal RNA, 492 nt
Filed under: uncultured bacterium
Lineage: Bacteria
Description: partial 16S ribosomal RNA
Rfam family: Bacterial small subunit ribosomal RNA
Source: RNAcentral
AGUGAACGCUGGCGGUAGGCCUAACACAUGCAAGUCGAACGGCAGCACAGUAAGAGCUUGCUCUUACGGGUGGCGAGUGGCGGACGGGUGAGGAAUACAUCGGAAUCUACUUUUUCGUGGGGGAUAACGUAGGGAAACUUACGCUACUACCGCAUACGACCUACGGCUGAAAGCAGGGGAUCAUCGGACCUUGCGCGAUUGAAUGAGCCGAUGUCGGAUUAGCUAGUUGGCGGGGUAAAGGCCCACCAAGGCGACGAUCCGUAGCUGGUCUGAGAGGAUGAUCAGCCACACUGGAACUGAGACACGGUCCAGACUCCUACGGGAGGCAGCAGUGGGGAAUAUUGGACAAUGGGCGCAAGCCUGAUGCAGCCAUACCGCGUGGGUGAAGAAGGCCUUCGGGUUGUAAAGCCCUUUUGUUGGGAAAGAAAAGCAGCAGGUUAAUACCCCGCUGUUCUGACGGUACCCAAAGAAUAAGCACCGGCUAACUUCGUG